UUUUCUUUCAUGCAUAUAUAGGUUCUAGUUUCCUAUUGUUCUUAGUCUUUAACUUCAAAGGCUACAAAGAAGGGGAAAGAAAAGUGCAUUUGAAUCUCAUGGAAUUCAGUUAUGGUGGUGUAAUGGUGAUAGGCUGGCCAAGUCAGUCGAGUCGACUGCAGAGAGAUUUGUGGGUUAUAGUGUCAAACAAGAUUUACCCCCUCAAGUACUGGGUUUUUACACGUCGAGUCGUCGGUUCCGAUUUGAUACCGGUACCUUGAUGGUAGUUUGUGUUUAUAUAGAUGGGCAGUUGACUUAAAAAUGCCUAAGGGUGCUCGCUCCUCAGUAUCUGUCAUUGCCAUGGUGCCACUCCCCCAUGCCAUGGCUCAGUAUUGGCAAAUUUCUUUCAAAAAACGAGAGGUUUUGCAGUUCUAAUAUUUAUUUGUUAUGCCUAUUUUUAGGUGGUUUGAGUGUUGCAUCCUCUACUUAUAGCCUGUUUGUUUCCCUUUUUUUUUUUUUUUAGUAAAAUUGCAUUUUGAAAUAGUUAACUGAUGAAAAAUGUGUGGUUAAGAAAUAAGAAAAUUUUUAGUUUUGC
RNAcentral lists this long non-coding RNA (574 nucleotides) under Olea europaea subsp. europaea. Lineage: Eukaryota; Viridiplantae; Streptophyta; Magnoliopsida; Lamiales; Oleaceae. The record is from RNAcentral.